CUUUAGCAGUGGUUCAGCUGAAUGAACGGGACGGUUUUUCUGUGCUGAGGUGGAUGUAGUGUCACGAAUCCGGGCGCCCAGUGCUUGUGGACGGGCCUCUGGUUGCAGCAGCUGGGAAGUGUGAGGAGGGAGACUGAAAACAGCAAGCAUGGAGGCAGAUAUCACAGAUCUUUGAAACAAACUCAAAGAGUGUGAAAAGGAGCGACUGAAAGAUGCACAGUAUGGCUUGCAGCUAUUGGAGAGGCAAACUGAACUGCAGAAUCAAUUGGAUAAAUGUCACGAGGAAAUGAUGACCAUGACUGAGAAUUAUAACCAAGAGAAGUAUGCCCUACAAAGAGAAGUUGAGCUCAAGAGUCGGGUGUUGGACAGUUUGAGCUGUGAAUGUGAAACUGUGAAACAGCAACAGAAAAUGCAGCUGGAGCAGCUGGAAAUGCAGCUAAACAGAAGCCACAGGCAGGAAGUGAACGGCCUGAAAAACAAGAAUCCUUGAGCUCAAUCCGAUUGUCGGAGAUGAAGAUGGAAACAUACUGGACCCUGAUAACACCAGCAUCAUCAGCUUGUUCCAUGCGCAUGAGGAGGCUACUGAAAAGAUCACAGAGCGCAUCAAAGAAGAAAUGGUGAGCUUCGUUCUGGAGGCUUUGGCCAAGCAAAGCUGGCCUUUAGCACAUCCUAAACUUAAAAUAUAAUAGGCCAGUGGACUGCACUGUGUCAUUCAGAGGGCCAUCAGUCCUACAACCUGAGAUGAUCAGCAAUAAUGCAGGCUUUACUAAGUUUGUGUACUUAGAUCUGUAAGUCAUCAGACAUGCAUCCCACAAGUAGUUAAAUGCCAGGCAUGUUUCCCAGUCUUGGAGCUUUUAGGUUCUAGAGUAAAGAAGAGAAGAUAGCAAAAUGUAAAUUAAUUAGUAGCUAAUGAUAAAUACAAUAAAGUAGACACUGAGUCAGGGGUUGCUCUAAGAGGUUUGGGCAGGAAAGGUCUCUUGGAGGAGUGAAAGAAUAAUGUGGAAGCCACCAGUACUGAGUCUCUUGGUGAUGGUUGCCUUUGUAGUUCCUGUUCAAAUAUUCAAAUUUUUUAUUUUCUGAAUUGCCCGUUUGGAUUUUAUCGAUUCUACUUUCAUUAUCAGUUCUUGAACAGUUUUAUACAUUUCCUUACACUCUUUGUGUUUUCUUGGAUUUUUUAAAGGAAUUUAUUCAUAUCUUUACAUGGUGUGUGCAUUUUCCUUGAUUUCUUUUUUUUUUUCCUUCUUACCUUUAUUUAUUUUAUGGAUGAGUGCUCUAACUGCACGUAUGCAUUUAUGCCAGAAGAGGGUGUCAGAUCUCCCUAGAGAUGGCUGUGAGCCACCAUGUGGUUGCUGCGAAUUGAACUCAGAACAUCUGAAAGAGCAGCCAGUGUUCUUAACCGCUGAGCCUUCUCUCCAGUCCCUUCCUUGAAUACUUAAUGAGAUUUUUCUCAUUUCUUUUUUAAGUGCUUCUAUGAUCUUCAUACCUGUUGUAUUAAAGUCUUUUCCUUGUGCUUCUGGUAGGUUGGAAUAUUCAGGGCCUACUGUGUAACAGUGAUUGGGUUCCAGUGGAGACAUUGUCCUGGCUGUUAGUGACUGUGUUUUUAUGCCAAUGUCCAGGCAUAUGGGAUUGGGAAGAUUACAGGUCUGUGUGAUGAUAUCUGGUUGUGUCUCUGUGGGGUGAGGGGUUUGUUCCUUGGUUUCUGAUCCUCCCUGAUCUGUGUGGUGGCUGUGUGCUGUAUGUUAGGAAAUUUUCUGUGGCCUGGUUUCCUUUUCCUGCUCAACUGAUGUGUUUCCAGGUUAUGCUUGCUAGUGUUGGAAGCUGAGAUACUCAGUUUAGUUGUGGGAAGGUUGGAGGAGAGCUUUGUGAUCUGUUGGGAAUGGCAUGAGAGAGGAAAGGGAGAUCACAAACUAUAGUAGACUUAGGUGGGCAUGAGACUUGGCCGAAUGGGAUCUGAGAAUCAGAAGUAGAGAGGUGGGCCUGCCAUCAGCCUACUGGUUACUCUGGCAGGAGGAGCCUUUGUGUUAACCAAAAUAAACAUUUCAGGAUCAACCAUGGUUGUAGAUAACCUUAUAUUUAUUGAAACCUAUAAACACAAUCUUAGGGAAAGACGUGCAAUAAAACUGAGGACUAAGGGCUUUUAGAUCUGUGGUAAAAGAGCUGUUACUGCGGGUGCUGUUGUAGAUACUGUUGUUGUUGCUGUGGCUAUUGGUGCAGUUCCUUCUGUUGUUGCUGUUGGUUGCUGCGGCUGCUGCUAUUGCUGUUGCUGCUGAUUGGUUGCUGAUUCUGUUGUUGCUGAUGUUACUG
Long non-coding RNA from Peromyscus eremicus (cactus mouse), 2304 nucleotides. RefSeq lists it as uncharacterized. Lineage: Eukaryota; Metazoa; Chordata; Mammalia; Rodentia; Cricetidae. The record is from RefSeq and is a predicted model, not a curated record. The transcript is spliced from 4 exons.